GUGCUCACUUUGACAGCACAUAAACUAAAUUUGGAACCAUACAGAGAAGAUUAACAUGGUCCUGCACAAGAAUGACACUUGAAUUUAUGAAGCAUUUCAUUUUAUU
Perognathus longimembris pacificus (Pacific pocket mouse) is the source of this 106-nucleotide small nuclear RNA. The record is from RefSeq and is a predicted model, not a curated record. NCBI's taxonomy places the organism in Eukaryota, Metazoa, Chordata, Mammalia, Rodentia, Heteromyidae.